CUUGCCUUGUUCAUCUUUGUGUCCCUAGGACGUAGCAGCCAGCUGUGUACUCGAUGAAUAUCAAUUGACCCAUCCAUGGGGAGCAUCCUUCCAGAUCGUCGUUUAACUCUGACUUCAUAGAGUUCAGCUCAGUAGCCACCUCCCACAGGCCCUUUUCCUCGGUUACCACCAGCCCACGUAGAGCCAUGACAGUGAGGUGCAGCGAAACUACAUUAUACAGCUUCCACUUUGGAAGGGCCUGCAAGUUCUGGCUUUUCUCCCUAUCUUUUCAUUCUUGACAAAACUGGUUAAUGGAGAGAUACUCUCUGCUUUGUAAACCACAAUUAUGUUGGAAAUAAAACUCAGUAAAAGGUGC
This is a long non-coding RNA of Canis lupus familiaris (dog), 355 nucleotides long. RefSeq lists it as uncharacterized. Lineage: Eukaryota; Metazoa; Chordata; Mammalia; Carnivora; Canidae. The transcript is spliced from 3 exons. The record is from RefSeq and is a predicted model, not a curated record.